ACAGUUUUCCCUGGAUU
This 17-nucleotide microRNA is filed under the name Corchorus capsularis. RNAcentral's name for it is "sRNA CCACVL1_20514". Lineage: Eukaryota; Viridiplantae; Streptophyta; Magnoliopsida; Malvales; Malvaceae. The record is from RNAcentral.